AGUUUGAUCCUGGCUCAGAUUGAACGCUGGCGGCAUGCCUUACACAUGCAAGUCGAACGGCAGCACGGGAAGGGGCAACUCUUUCUGGUGGCGAGUGGCAAACGGGUGAGUAACGCAUCGGAACGUACCCAGUAGUGGGGGAUAACGUACCGAAAGGUACGCUAAUACCGCAUACGACCUGAGGGUGAAAGCGGGGGACCUUUGAAAGAGGGCCUCGCGCUAUUGGAGCGGCCGAUGUCCGAUUAGCUAGUUGGUGGGGUAAAGGCUCACCAAGGCUGUGAUCGGUAGCUGGUCUGAGAGGACGAUCAGCCACACUGGGACUGAGACACGGCCCAGACUCCUACGGGAGGCAGCAGUGGGGAAUUUUGGACAAUGGGCGCAAGCCUGAUCCAGCAAUGCCGCGUGUGCGAAGAAGGCCUUCGGGUUGUAAAGCACUUUUGUCCGGAACGAAAAGCGCCUGGCUAAUACCUGGGGGUGAUGACGGUACCGGAAGAAUAAGCACCGGCUAACGACGUG
Molecule: ribosomal RNA, 516 nt
Filed under: uncultured Burkholderiales bacterium
Lineage: Bacteria; Pseudomonadati; Pseudomonadota; Betaproteobacteria; Burkholderiales
Description: bacterial SSU rRNA
Rfam family: Bacterial small subunit ribosomal RNA
Source: RNAcentral